AUCAACCGAGAUUCCGCUAGUAGUGGCGAGCGAACGCGGAAGAGGCCAAACCGGAGGUAGCAAUAUUUCCGGGGUUAGGACUGCAAUAUGUAACUUUAAUCUUUAACUGAAUGCUUUGGGAAGAGCAGCAAUAUAGGGUGAUAGCCCCGUAAGUGAAAAGGAUUGAGUGCUAGCAGUAUCCAGAGUACCAGCGGACACGUGAAACCCGCUGGGAAGAUGGGGGGACCAUCCUCCAAGCCUAAAUACUACUCAGUGACCGAUAGUGGAGCAGUACCGUGAGGGAAAGGUGAAAAGUACCCCGGGAGGGGAGUGAAAAAGAACCUGAAACCUUGUGCCUACAAGCACCGAGAGUCCGUUAAAGGAUGAUCGGGUACUUUUUGUAGAACGGUCCGGCGAGUUAAUAUUUGCAGCGAGGUUAAGGAACUGGAGUUCCGGAGCCGCAGCGAGAGCGAGUCUGAAAAGGGCGUAUGAAGUUGCAGGUAUUAGACCCGAAACCGGGUGACCUAUCCAUGAGCAGGCUGAAGCGGUGGUAAGACACCGUGGAGGGCCGCACCCACGUCUGUUGAAAAAGCCGGGGAUGACUUGUGGAUAGCGGAGAAAUUCCAAUCGAACUCGGAGAUAGCUGGUUCUCCUCGAAAUAGCUUUAGGGCUAGCCUUGUUUAGUAGCAUGUGGAGGUAAAGCACUGAAUAUGUGAGGGUUCUUACCAGAAUACCGAUCAUUAUCAAACUCUGAAUGCCAUGUGUGUAAGAACAGGAGUCAGACAGUGACAGCUAAGUGCCAUUGUCAAAAGGGAAAGAGCCCAGACCAACAGCUAAGGUCCCAAAAUUGUAGUUAAGUGGAAAAGGAUGUGGGAAUUCAUAGACAACCAGGAUGUUGGCUCAGAAGCAGCCAUUCAUUUAAAGAGUGCGUAAAAGCUCACUGGUCGAAGUAGGCCUGCGCCGAAAAUUACCGGGGCUAAACUACAUACCGAAGCUUUGGAUUUGGUACGUAAAGUAUUAAGUGGUAGAGGAGCGUUGUAUAAAGGUUGAAGCUAUACUGAAAAGAGUAGUGGACGAUAUACAAGAGAGAAUGCCGGAAUAAGUAGCGAGAGCACAGUGAGAAUCUGUGCCGCCGAAAACCUAAGGUUUCCUGGGGAAGGUUCGUCCGCCCAGGGUAAGUCGGGACCUAAGACGAGGCUAAAGCAGCGUAGUCGAUGGAAAGCAGGUAAAAGAUUCCUGCACUACCGAAAUGCGAUAUACAAUAUAUCAUGACGCAUCAGAGGAGUCUAAGCGAGCAAAUGGAAAAGUUCGUACCGCAAGGUGGAGUGAAAAAAUAGUAGCGAAGUAGACAAAUCAGGUGACAAGAAAAGUGAUAUAGGAGCAUAGAGGUACUCGUACCGUAAACCGACACAGGUGGGAAGAAAGAGAAUUUUCAGGCGAACGAGAGAAUCAUUGUUAAGGAACUCGGCAAAUUAACCCCGUAACUUAGGGAUAAGGGGAGCCAAUAGCGAUAUUGGUCGCAGAGAAAUGGCCCAAGCAACUGUUUAGCAAAAACACAGGUUUCUGCCAAAUCGAAAGAUGAAGUAUAGGAGCUGACGCCUGCCCAGUGCUGGAAGGUCAAGGGGAAGAGUAAACGUUUCGAUGUGAAGCUCUGAACUUAAGCCCCAGUGAACGGCGGCCGUAACUAUAACGGUCCUAAGGUAGCGAAAUUCCUUGUCAGGUAAG
Molecule: ribosomal RNA, 1704 nt
Filed under: human gut metagenome
Description: bacterial LSU rRNA
Rfam family: Bacterial large subunit ribosomal RNA
Source: RNAcentral